AAAUAAAAUAAAAAUAAUAAUAAUAAUAAAAAAGAAAAAUUGAAAAAAGAAAAAGACCUUUCCAUAUUUACUUCUCUCCCUUUAAUAUACAACACACAGUAAAAUAUACAUUACAAAGAAGCAUUGAUAUUAUUGACAUUGAACAAAGUAUAAAAGAUUUUAAGGCUUUGGCAUUAUUGAAGAUCUAAGUUACAUUUCAGGUCUUUACAACAAAAAAUAAUAAAAAGAAGUUUCACAGAAAAAAAAAAAAGUUUAAAAAUUGUCCAGAAAAAUAAAUCGAUUUAUUAGGAAAUAUUUGUCUUCUAUAAAAACCAAAUAACACAUCUUUAAACACCAAAGAAAAAAAAAACACAAAUAAGUAACUCACAGCUACAACAGACAUUAACAACAACACAAAAAUGAUGAAGAACCAGGAAAAUGGUUACACAAAAGAGGUUAUGUGCAUUUCUUCACUCAUACACAUUCUCAAUGGUAACUGAAAAUAAAUAAAGUGAAUAGUGAUUAAUAAUAAGCUCGGGAGGAGACGGUAAAGGGGGCUGUAAGAGGCCACUAAAAAUCUACAAUUUUUAUCAUUUAGAAACAUAAAUAUAUUUGUAUAAAGUCUUAUAUAAGAAAUAAUAUUAAAAAAACUCCCAUCUAUCUAUAUUUUGUGCUCUCCGUCCAAUUCAGUACAUAACUGAACUCACACAAUGAAACAUAACUCUGUGGUCCCAAUAUGACAGUUUUCAUAUUUUGUACUUGUGCAUUAAAGGGGUCAUAUGAUGCUGCUAAAAAGAACAUUAUUUUGUGUAUUUGGUGUGUGGAAUUACAAAUAUUUAAAAUCUUAAAUCUAGGUUCCAAUGUAAUAGUUUAUAAACUAAAAAAGUUAUGUACAUUGUGUUUUACAUUUUGAGGUAAAAAAAGGAUCAAAUCAGGAAGCCCAGGUGUCUGAGAUAAUGAUCUUUUGUCUUUGUGCUCUUCCUUGCCAUUUGGCUUUUUAAGACUGAUUGGAUUAGCACCUAUGCAUUUGAAGGACACUGUUAUGCUGAUGAGAUCAGCGAUGGGGAAACUCCUGUAACAGGAGUUUCCUGUACUGCAUUUGCAUGCUUUGCUUAGAUGGUCUCCACCUCUAUGUAUGCCUCCCCCUUGAAAUGUAUAUAAACCACAAUGUAUCAAUGACUAGUUAGACUUUUGAUGACUUCAGCGCCAUCCAGCGCGUUCUCAAUAAAGAAUUCUGCUGAAGAUUACCCAAGAGUCUCCUGGUCUUCACUUUUGAGUUUCCAACAGGUGUAAUGAAAUGUGUUUAUGCGGUUUAAGGUUUAAAAAAACACAUUAUUUUCCACAUACUGUACAUUAUUGUUUCUCCUCUAUGCCCCGCCUUCUGAAACGUGUCGAUUUUCACAAAGCUUAUCACUCUGAAAAGCGAGGUGUGCUGUGAUUGGCCAGCUAUCCAGUGCGUUGUUAUUGGCCGAAUGCCUCAAGGAUGUGACGGAAAUGCUACACCCCUCACCAUACUGUGAUGCCCUGUCCGGCCGGAGCGAAGAGACGUAAACAUAAAACCCAUUAUAAACGUGAUAUAAACAUGAUUUCUAGUCGUGUUUACUUUUGGAAGGCCAAACAAAGUAGUUUUGCUUUCUCAACGAAACAACGUCACACACUGCAGCCUUGAGUGAGUGAAGACUGGAGGCCUAGAGUGAGCGGAGGCUGGAGGUCUAGAGUGAGCGGAGGUCAGAGGUCUAGAGUGAGCCGCGGUCUAGCGUGAGCGGAGGCUGCAGGUCUAGAGUGAGCCGUGGUCUAGAGUGAGCGGAGGCUGGAGGUCUAGAGUGAGCAGAGGUCUAGAGUGAGCCGCGGUCUAGAGUGAGCGGAGGCUGGAGGUCUAGAGUGAGCCGCGGUCUAGAGUGAGUGGAGGCUGGAGGUCUAGAGUGAGCCGCGAUCUAGAGUGAGCGGAGGCUGGAGGUCUAGAGUGAGCCGCGAUCUAGAGUGAGCGGAGGCUGGAGGUCUAGAGUGAGCGGAGGCUGCAGGUCUAGAGUGAGCAGAGGCUGGUGGCUUGAGAACGGUGCGGCAGGCAGAUUCUACGAAGGAGCGUACCUUGGUCUUGCAGCAACCACAUGUGAUGACCCUGGGCUGGACGCCGCUUCGUACAUGGUGAAAGCUGAUCCUGCGAUCCACAGUGCAAAGUUGAUGUAUAUCCUCAGCGACCAGCACGGAUCAGCUCCAGGCAUAACGAAGCGGAUAUCGUCCUCUUUUGGAAGUAGUUUUGCUUUCACAUGAAACACACAGCGUCUAUACGACAUGGCGGCGGCGGCGGCAACAACAAUACUACAACGAGAAUAAAAGCUACACCUUCUUUCUUUGUGUGAACAUCUAGGCCCGUGUUAUGCAAAUCUUCACACAUACUGACGUAGAGAUGUGGGGCGUGUUAGAACAAGCCGUUUCAGGGGGGCGUGGACGAGUGUUAACUUUUAAAAGAAUAUCUCUUUGGGUUUGAGACUUUAGUCUUUGCAGCUUUACAGAUCUUCUUUAUGCACCAAGAGCUUGUAACACUCCAAAGAGAAAGGAAAAUUUGAAAUCGCAUCAUGUGACCUCUUUAAACAGGCAGCUUCCAGUAACAUGAAUGACACUCUAACAAUCAUGUUCAUGUGUUUAAAUGGAGUCAGUGUUUUAAUUAUUAGGAUGACUGUAAUCGUUCAAUCUCAGGUUUUUACAGUUCAUAGGUCACUUCUCCAGAAUAAAAAGGACAAGUUGAAUGCUUUUGGUCACUCUCCUGUACGGGCUUGCUAUCUGUAGUUUCCACUGUGGGUGAUGCCUUCUUCUUACAGCAGAAAAGAAGAAGACGAAAGCAAAUGAAGAGUGAGAAACAAAUAAAGAGUGAGAAAGAUGAG
Molecule: long non-coding RNA, 2861 nt
Organism: Cyprinus carpio carpio
Lineage: Eukaryota; Metazoa; Chordata; Actinopteri; Cypriniformes; Cyprinidae
Source: Ensembl